This 587-nucleotide ribosomal RNA is filed under the name uncultured bacterium. RNAcentral's name for it is "bacterial SSU rRNA". It matches the Rfam family "Bacterial small subunit ribosomal RNA", at positions 338 to 916 of the family's 1533-position model. The record is from RNAcentral.
CCUACGGGAGGCAGCAGUAGGGAAUCUUCCGCAAUGGACGAAAGUCUGACGGAGCAACGCCGCGUGAGCGAUGAAGGCCUUCGGGUCGUAAAGCUCUGUUGUCAGGGAAGAACAAGUACCGGAGUAACUGCCGGUACCUUGACGGUACCUGACCAGAAAGCCACGGCUAACUACGUGCCAGCAGCCGCGGUAAUACGUAGGUGGCAAGCGUUGUCCGGAAUUAUUGGGCGUAAAGCGCGCGCAGGCGGUCCUUUAAGUCUGAUGUGAAAGCCCACGGCUCAACCGUGGAGGGUCAUUGGAAACUGGGGGACUUGAGUGCAGAAGAGGAAAGCGGAAUUCCACGUGUAGCGGUGAAAUGCGUAGAGAUGUGGAGGAACACCAGUGGCGAAGGCGGCUUUCUGGUCUGUAACUGACGCUGAGGCGCGAAAGCGUGGGGAGCAAACAGGAUUAGAUACCCUGGUAGUCCACGCCGUAAACGAUGAGUGCUAAGUGUUAGGGGGUUUCCGCCCCUUAGUGCUGCAGCUAACGCAUUAAGCACUCCGCCUGGGGAGUACGGCCGCAAGGCUGAAACUCAAAGGAAUUGACGG